AGAAGGAGCUUGCUCCUUUGAGACCGGCGCACGGGUGCGUAACGCGUAUGCAAUCUACCUUGUACAGGGGAAUAGCCCAGAGAAAUUUGGAUUAAUGCCCCAUAGUAUAUAACCUUCGCAUGUUGGUUAUAUUAAAGUUCCAACGGUACAAGAUGAGCAUGCGUCCCAUUAGUUAGUUGGUAAGGUAACGGCUUACCAAGACGAUGAUGGGUAGGGGUCCUGAGAGGGAGAUCCCCCACACUGGUACUGAGACACGGACCAGACUCCUACGGGAGGCAGCAGUGAGGAAUAUUGGUCAAUGGUCGCAAGACUGAACCAGCCAUGCCGCGUGCAGGAAGACGGUCCUAUGGAUUGUAAACUGCUUUUAUACAGGAAGAAACCCUCCCACGUGUGGGAGCUUGACGGUACUGUAGGA
Molecule: ribosomal RNA, 415 nt
Filed under: uncultured bacterium
Lineage: Bacteria
Description: bacterial SSU rRNA
Rfam family: Bacterial small subunit ribosomal RNA
Source: RNAcentral